RNAcentral lists this ribosomal RNA (494 nucleotides) under uncultured bacterium. RNAcentral's name for it is "partial 16S ribosomal RNA". It matches the Rfam family "Bacterial small subunit ribosomal RNA", at positions 28 to 523 of the family's 1533-position model. The record is from RNAcentral.
GAUGAACGCUAGCGGCAGGCUUAACACAUGCAAGUCGAGGGGUAUAGGUUUUCGGACCUAGAGACCGGCGCACGGGUGCGUAACGCGUAUGCAAUCUACCUUUCACAGAGGGAUAGCCCAGAGAAAUUUGGAUUAAUACCUCAUAGUAUUAUAGAAUGGCAUCAUUUUAUAAUUAAAGUCACAACGGUGAAAGAUGAGCAUGCGUCCCAUUAGCUAGUUGGUAUGGUAACGGCAUACCAAGGCUACGAUGGGUAGGGGUCCUGAGAGGGAGAUCCCCCACACUGGUACUGAGACACGGACCAGACUCCUACGGUAGGCAGCAGUGAGGAAUAUUGGUCAAUGGGCGCAAGCCUGAACCAGCCAUGCCGCGUGCAGGAUGACGGUCCUAUGGAUUGUAAACUGCUUUUGUACGGGAAGAAACACUCCUACGUGUAGGAACUUGACGGUACCGUAAGAAUAAGGAUCGGCUAACUCCGUGCCAGCCGCCGCGGUAA